Molecule: ribosomal RNA, 888 nt
Filed under: Lactifluus volemus
Lineage: Eukaryota; Fungi; Basidiomycota; Agaricomycetes; Russulales; Russulaceae
Description: eukaryotic LSU rRNA
Rfam family: Eukaryotic large subunit ribosomal RNA
Source: RNAcentral
AGGAUUCCCCUAGUAACUGCGAGUGAAGCGGGAAAAGCUCAAAUUUAAAAUCUAAUGGUCCUUGGCCAUUCGAGUUGUAAUUUAGAGAAGCGUCUUCCGCGCCAGACCAUGUACAAGUCUCCUGGAACGGAGCGUCAUAGAGGGUGAGAAUCCCGUCUUUGACAUGGACCCUUGGUGCUUCUGUGAUGCGCUCUCAAAGAGUCGAGUUGUUUGGGAAUGCAGCUCAAAAUGGGUGGUGAACUCCAUCUAAGGCUAAAUAUUGGCGAGAGACCGAUAGCGAACAAGUACCGUGAGGGAAAGAUGAAAAGCACUUUGGAAAGAGAGUGAAACAGUACGUGAAAUUGUUGAAAGGGAAACACUUGAAGUCAGUCGCGUCGAUCGAGACUCAGCCUUGCCUUGGCUUGGCGUACUUCUCGACUUGACGGGCCAGCAUCAAUUUCAUCCCUCGGAUAAUGGCAGGGGAAAGGUGGCACCUUCACCGGUGUGUUAUAGUCUCUUGUCGCAUGCGAGGGGUGGGAUUGAGGAACUCAGCACGCACCUCACGGUGUCGGGGCUUCGGCCCACGUUACGUGCUCAGGAUGCCGGCGUAAUGGCUUUAAAUGACCCGUCUUGAAACACGGACCAAGGAGUCUAACAUGCCUGCGAGUGUUCGGGUGGAAAACCCGUGUGCGUAAUGAAAGUAAAAGUUGGGACCUCUGUCGUGGAGGGCACCGACGCCCGGACCAGACCUUCUGUGACGGAUCUGCGGUAGAGCAUGCAUGUUGGGACCCGAAAGAUGGUGAACUAUGCCUGAAUAGGGUGAAGCCAGAGGAAACUCUGGUGGAGGCUCGUAGCGAUUCUGACGUGCAAAUCGAUCGUCAAAUUUGGGUAUAGGGGCGAAAGACUAAU